Molecule: ribosomal RNA, 1235 nt
Filed under: metagenome
Description: bacterial LSU rRNA
Rfam family: Bacterial large subunit ribosomal RNA
Source: RNAcentral
UGAAUACGAGAUGCUACGGCGUCGAAGCAGUCUAUGUCAUACUUCCAAGAAAAGCUUGCACUGUCAUAAACAAAUAAUGCCUGUACCAUAACCGACACAGGUGGGUAGGUAGAGUAUACUAAGGGGCGCGAGAUAGCUCUCUCUAAGGAACUCGGCAAAAUGACUCCGUAACUUCGGGAGAAGGAGUGCCUUAUUUUAUAAGGUUGCAAUAACAAGAUCCAAGCAACUGUUUACCAAAAACACAGGUCUCCGCUAAGUCGUAAGACGAUGUAUGGGGGCUGACGCCUGCCCAGUGCCAGAAGGUUAAAGAAGUUGGUUAGCAUCCGCGAAGCUGAUAACUGAAGCCCUGGUGAACGGCGGCCGUAACAAUAACGGUCCUAAGGUAGCGAAAUUCCUUGUCGGGUAAGUUCCGACCCGCACGAAAGGCGUAAUGAUUUGGAUACUGUCUCAGAGAGGGGCUCGGUGAAAUAGACUUGUCUGUGAAGAUGCGGACUACCUGCACCAGGACAGAAAGACCCUAUGAAGCUUUACUGUAACUUGAAAUUGAAAUUGGACUUUACUUGCGCAGUAUAGGUGGGAGGCGUUGAGAAUAUUCUUGCGGGAAUGUUGGAGCCAUCAGUGAGAUACCACUCUUGUAAUGUUAGAUUUCUAACUUUGUAUCAUUAUCUGGUCAAAGGACAGUUUCAGGCGGGCAGUUUGACUGGGGCGGUCGCCUCCCAAACGGUGACGGAGGCGCACAAAGGUUUCCUCUGAACGGGUAGAAAUCGUAUCUAGAGUGUAAAGGCAUAAGGAAGCUUGACUGUGAGACCUACAAGUCGAGCAGGGACGAAAGUCGGUCUUAGUGAUCUGACGGUGCUGAGUGGAAAGGCCGUCACUCAACGGAUAAAAGUUACUCUAGGAUAACAGGCUGAUCUCCCCCAAGAGUUCACAUCGACGGGGAGGUUUGGCACCUCGAUGUCGGCUCAUCGCAUCCUGGGGCGGUAGUACGUCCCAAGGGUUGGGCUGUUCGCCCAUGAAAGCGGUACGCGAGCUGGGUUCAGAACGUCGUGAGACAGUUCGGUCCAUAUCCGGUGUAGGCGUUAGAAUAUUGAGAGGAGCCUUCUUUAGUACGAGAGGACCGAGAAGGACAUACCUCUGGUGUACCAGUUAUCGUGCCAACGGUAAACGCUGGGUAGCUAUGUAUGGAGUGGAUAACCGCUGAAAGCAUCUAAGUGGGAAGCCCACCUCAAGAUAAG